This 253-nucleotide ribosomal RNA is filed under the name uncultured bacterium. RNAcentral describes it as "partial 16S ribosomal RNA". It matches the Rfam family "Bacterial small subunit ribosomal RNA", at positions 524 to 776 of the family's 1533-position model. The record is from RNAcentral.
UACGUACGAGGCAAGCGUUAUCCGGAAUUACUGGGCGUAAAGAGCUCGUAGGUGGCGGGUCACGUCGGGUGUGAAAGCCCGGGGCUUAACUCCGGGUCUGCAUUCGAUACGGGUCUGCUGGGGUCCGGCAGGGGAGACUGGAAUUCCGGGUGUAGCGGUGGAAUGCGUAGAGAUCCGGAAGAACACCGGUGGCGAAGGCGGUCUGCUGGGCAGUUGCUGACACUGAGGCGCGACAGCGUGGGGAGCAAACAGG